CUUCCUGUUUGGUAACUAAGGGCGCCUGGCUGUUGCUAGGGCCGCGGAAUACAGACGGUUAGGCUUGGCUGCGAGCUCCAGGGAACGGUUUUGGGUGGCUUGUCUGUGAUUCCUUUGAGCCUCGUACGCCAUGUGCAGUGAGUUCUUGUCAGAGCUGCACUGGGAAGAUGGGUUCGCCAUCCCCGUGGCCAAUCAGGAGAACAAGAUCCUGGAGGAUCAGUUGGCAAAGCUCCGAGAGGAAAAAUCAAACUUGCAAGAUCAGCUUCAUGACUAUGAAGAACGAAUUAAUUCUAUGACUUCUCACCUUAAAAAUGUGAAUCAGGAAUUUUUAUUUACACAGUCUCUUUACAAAGCAAGGGAGAGUGAGAUCGAGAGCGAAGAACAUUUUAAGGCCAUUGCUGAAAGAGAGCUGGGCCGAGUCAAGAAUGAGACCCAACUGCUGGAGAAGGAGAUGGCGAUCAUCCGGGAGCGCAAGAGCCAAAUGGAAAACAAUAUAUUUAAAACUACUCAAAAGCUGGAUGACUUGAAAUGUCAGAUGAACUGGGACCAGCAAGCCUUGGAGGCCUGGCUGGAAGAAUCGGCUCACAAAGACAGUGACUCUCUGACCCUUCAGAAGUACUCUCAGCAAGACGAUAACAAAAUCAGGGCCCUGACUCUGCAGUUAGAAAAGCUGACCAUGGAGUAUAACGAGAAGAGGAAGCUUCUAGACAGUGAACUGACAGAGACGCUAAGUGCGCAGUUAGAAUUAGAUAAAGCUGCACAGGAUUUCCGGAAGAUUCACUUAGAACGGCAGGAGCUCAUUCAGCAGUGGGAGAACACCAUUGAGCAGAUGCAGAGGCGGGAUCAGGAGAUAGACAACUGUGCCCUGGCAUUAUCACGAAUAAAGCAGGAAGCAAGAGAAAAAGAAGGCGUGGUGAAAGAGAAGAUCAAGUUUCUGGAAAAUGAGGUUGAGAACAACAUAGAAUACGAGAGAAAAAUUUCUGUUGCUGAGCGGAAAGUGUCCAAGUGCAGGAUGGACUACCAGCGUCACGAAGGCAACAGAAGUCAGCUGAAGGAUGAGCUGGAUACUUUAAAAACCACUCUCAACAGAACAUCCAGUGACUUACAAGCUCUGAGGAAAAACAUUUCCAAAGUAAAGAAGGACAUCUUUGACGAAACAUUAAGAUUACAAAAACUUAAACAUCACAAUGAGGUUGUAAAACAUAAAUUAAAGAUGAUAACUGAGAAGACCCUAUCUAUUGAAGAGAAAGCUACCAACAUGGAAGACAUGCUGAAGGAGGAGGAGAAAGGCCUGAAGGAAGUGGAGGUUCAAUUGGGCAUAGUAAAAGACGUGUUAUUUAAGAAAGUCCAAGAGUUACAGAACGAGAUAGCGAAAGAGAAAGCCCUGGUAUCAGAAAUUGAAGGAACCCGUUCCUCCCUGAAACAUCUUAACAAACAGUUACACAAACUGGAUUUUGAAACCCUGAAGCAGCAGGAAAUUAUGUACAGUCAGGAUUUUUACAUUCAGCAAGUAGAACGCAGAAUGUCACGAUUAAAAGGAGAAAUUAAUUCAGAGGAAAAGCAAGCCCUUGAAGCAAAAAUCCUUGAACUUAAGAAGACAAUGGAUGAGAAAAAAUCCACACUUUCCCUUUUGGAAUCCCAGAUCAAGAAGCUCCAUAAUGACCUCUACUUCAUUAAGAAAUCAAAUGGUAAAAACAAUGAUGAGAAAGAGUCUCUCAUGAAUAAAAUAAGUGAACUGAACCUUUUUAUUGACAGAUCUGAGAAGGAACUGAGCAAAGCCAAAGCUGUGAAAGAGGUGUGAUGAAUCUGGAUACAUAGAUAUGAUGAUCGAGGACAAUCUUUUAAAGCUUCAAGUUAAACGUGCUCGAGAAUUGCUUUACAGCAAGGCAGAGGAAGUCCUUUCUCUAGAGAAAAGGAAACAGCAGCUGGGCAAAGACAUGGAAGAGAGAGCUGAAGAAAUUAAAGUGCACAAAGCCAUGCUUACCUCACAGAUCAGAUGUGUUGAACAGCAGCGAAAAACUAUGAGUUCUGAAUUUCAUGAGCGGCUAAGUAAAAUUGAUAAGCUUAAGAAUAGAUAUGAAAUUCUUACUGUUGUCAUGCUGCCUCCUGAAGGAGAAGAGGAGAAAACACAGUCCUAUUAUGUAAUAAAGGCUGCUCAAGAAAAAGAAGAACUUCAAAGGGAAGGUGAUAGCUUGGAUGCUAAGAUCAACAAAGCUGAAAAAGAAAUCUAUGCUUUGCAAAACACCUUGCAAGUACUUAACAGCUGCAACAGCAAUUAUAAGCAAUCUUUCAAAAAAGUGACUCCGUCAAGUGAUGAGUAUGCAUUAAAAAUUCAACUAGAAGAACAAAAAAGAACUGCAGAUGAGAGAUACAGAUGCAAACAAAGGCAGAUCAGAGAACUUCAAGAAGAUAUCCAGAGCAUGGAAAAUACUUUUGAAGUUAUAGGACACUUAGCAAAUAAUGCCAAAGAGAAAUUAACAGAGAAACAAACACUUGCAUUUCAACUUCGUAAGGAGACUGAGGAGCAGAAGCCGAAAUUGCAGCGAAUAACUAAGCAGUGUGGAAGACUCAGAAGAGAAAUCCGCAUUUUGAAACAAACAGAUAAUGAAACUCUAGAAGAACAGGACAUUCAGCUCCGUGAGAUCAUACAGUUUCACAAGGACAUUGACCAAAUGUUAGUUAAUGCCAUGGAAAAUGCAGAAAUUCAUGCCAUCUUUAAAACAUAUUUUGAGCAGAACGGGUUAGAACUACCUACAGCAAGAGGCCCGAGCUCGAGAUCUUCUUCCCAGUCUUCCUCCCUUUCAUCAUUCAGGUCGCUCGAGGAUGUAACUCUCCAGUCUCCCCCCACAGCUAAAGUGAUACAGCUCAGAUUCCCAGAGCCUCCUCCAGCAACAAAUGACAGUUCUAGGUCAGCUAGUAGUGGCAGUAAUUCCAACAUUCCUAAAGAAAAAAAGCUCAGCAAAUGAACAUGCUUUUUUUUAAAAAAAAAUCUUUUUAUACAUUUAGAACACAAAUGAAAAUCUUAUUAAUAGUUAAGUCUCUCUCUUUUUCUGGGGCUUCAUUUAUUAAUGAUGCAGGCUUACUAAAAUACUACCAAAAGUACAGAGCAGACAAAAGUUCUGUACAGUGGCUAUAAGAGCUGUCUGAGAAAAGAACAAAGGGAGUUUUGUGUUUGUUUUUUUCCUACUGUUUUAUUUAUAGAGAAGGAAAACUGCAGAACCUUAGCCAAGCCACAUGUGACAAAGCAGAGGGAAAUAAGCAGGUUUUUUUUUUUUUUACUAGAACAUGUCUACAGUGUUAGAUGUUUUAUGAAGUAACACAUUUAUAAGAUUCUUUCACUAAUACACUUCUAAAGAUUUAUUCUAUCUCUCAAUAAUGAAGUUUUCAUUUACUCUAGAUCACCAAACUACCUUUUAAAAUAAAAAAUAAGCGAACAACUGUAUUCUUCAGAUGUUUUUAAGGGGGUUAACAUGAGGGAGGAGCUUGGGAAAGACCAUCUUUUGUUUAUUUGUACUGUUUAUAAUGUGUAACCAAAACACAGCAUCAUUCCCACUCCCUCAGGAAAAAGUUUAGUAAGAAAGACACUGUUUAUGUAUAUGUACAUAUGCAUUUGUCUCUAUAUGUGCACAAAUAAAGUGAAACCUAAGCUGUUAAGAAUGUUUCUUCUCUGACCAUGAAAGAACUGAACAUAUUAAAUUUACACUGGAGGUAGAUAUUGCAUACUAUAUUUAAAAUUUUUUUUCCAGCUAAUACUUUAUUUCCAGCACUUUGACCUUUUUGGGAUAGCAUAUGAAAUAAUACUAUAAAGCUAGAUUUCAAAUACAUUACCAUUCAGGUAUAUAAAUCAGCAUCUCCUUUAAACCUUUGGGAAAAUCGUCAUUACAGCAGUGAUUGUCUUAGAACUCAGUUACUUCUGGAAACGCAGCACUGGUAGGAAAUCUGUUUCUACUAAUGAUCAUUUUAAAUUUAGAAACAUAGUUAAGUCUAAUAAGUAAAAAGGCUAAGAAAACUCUGGGCACUUUUUGGUUCAAACACUGCUUAAAUUAAAUUCACAACAUGUUUAGGAUCUAAAACUGAUUAAUCCCAUCAUUUUGUUUAUCAAUGUUGUGAUUCUCAGUUAUGUUUUAGUUUGUAAGUUACUUAGAACUUAAAACAUAAACUUUGUGUCCUACAAAGGCAGAGGUUUUGUUCCUAGGGAGAUUACUUUUCUAAGCCUUUUCUUUUCGUAAUCUAGAGAUAAUUAACUAUCACAGGUUUAUUAAAGGAACAUAUAAGCAAAAUACACUGGCACUAAAACAGGGUUAACUGCAUAGUAAGUAGUUAGCUUCUACCUAUGGAAUCACUACUAGAUCCUACUCUGGAAUGGCCAGCAUCCAAGUUUACAUUUAACCACUAUACUAACUGCAUGUAGUCAUGUUAAAUGGGAGGACAAAGGAUGAAUCCUGUUUUCAGAUCUGGAAUAUCUUAACAUCCAGAAGUCACAGUUCUACUCAUGGAAAUUAAGACAAAGCUGUCCAGGGAACAUGCAAACUAUGGACAUAUUAAUGUAAAAGAAACUAAUGAUGACAGAACUGAGAAUCAAUUUAAAUUCUCAAUAAUUUUUUUCUGUGACGACUCCUCAAAUAUUCCAUGGAACUAGAUGCUCAGUGUAGUCUGCUUAACUUAGAAUGUCCUACUAGGAAAGAUGUAAUUUUCAAAGUCUGAUAGCCUUCCCUACAAGGCACUAUCCUAAGGGUUAAGUAACAUGGUAUGUGUAAGAUUACAAGGUGUACUAGGGAUUCUCAAAGAUCAAGGGGUGUGCAUAGAGGUGGUUUUCACAUAACAACAACAAACCCUAGCUAUGUAGGAGUAAGUCUGGAACUAGUGAGACAUAGAAUACUCUUAAGAGUUCCUUGGUGCUGGGCUAGCAAAAUGGCCCAGUGGAUAGAGGUACUUGCUGUCAAGCCCAAUGAGCCAAGAUUCAUUCCUGGGACCCGUAAGGUGGAAAAAAUUCCUUCAAGUUGUCCCCCAAAGUCCACAUACGCUCAUCAUCCUUACCCCAGCCCCCAUGAUGAUGAUGAUGAUUUCCUUGGUGUAAAAAACAAAUGUUGAAGUGAUUAUGAAAUUUCUGCUGCCAUUAUUUAUUGUUCUUAAUCAAGGUUUCUUUUCUGUAUUGUACUGUAAAAUAACUGUUAUAUUUUACAGUAGUUUUCCAUCACUGUAAUUUGGUACAAAUACUAUGUAUCAGUAUUAAAGCAUUUUACUGGUAGAAACACA
Mus musculus (house mouse) is the source of this 5256-nucleotide RNA transcript. It is a transcript of the gene named coiled-coil domain containing 39, with no coding region annotated. NCBI's taxonomy places the organism in Eukaryota, Metazoa, Chordata, Mammalia, Rodentia, Muridae. The transcript is spliced from 20 exons. The record is from RefSeq and is marked validated.